Molecule: ribosomal RNA, 506 nt
Filed under: uncultured bacterium
Lineage: Bacteria
Description: partial 16S ribosomal RNA
Rfam family: Bacterial small subunit ribosomal RNA
Source: RNAcentral
AGUGAACGCUGGCGGUAGGCCUAACACAUGCAAGUCGAACGGCAGCACAGGAGAGCUUGCUCUCUGGGUGGCGAGUGGCGGACGGGUGAGGAAUACAUCGGAAUCUACUCUGUCGUGGGGGAUAACGUAGGGAAACUUACGCUAAUACCGCAUACGACCUACGGGUGAAAGUAGGGGACCUUCGGGCCUUGCGCGAUUGAACGAGCCGAUGUCGGAUUAGCUAGUUGGCGGUGUAAAGGCCCACCAAGGCGACGAUCCGUAGCUGGUCUGAGAGGAUGAUCAGCCACAAUGGAACUGAGACACGGUCCAGACUCCUACGGGAGGCAGCAGUGGGGAAUAUUGGACAAUGGGCGCAAGCCUGAUCCAGCCAUACCGCGUGGGUGAAGAAGGCCUUCGGGUUGUAAAGCCCUUCUGUUGGGAAAGAAAUCCAGCUGGCUAAUACCCGGUUGGGAUGACGGUACCCAAAGAAUAAGCACCGGCUAACUUCGUGCCAGCCGCCGCGGUAA